This 512-nucleotide ribosomal RNA is filed under the name uncultured bacterium. RNAcentral describes it as "bacterial SSU rRNA". It matches the Rfam family "Bacterial small subunit ribosomal RNA", at positions 34 to 518 of the family's 1533-position model. The record is from RNAcentral.
CGCUGGCGGCGUGCCUAAUACAUGCAAGUCGAACGGUCUUUCUAUGGAAGCUUGCUUCCACUGAGAAGAUAGUGGCGAACGGGUGAGUAACACGUGGGUAACCUGCCCAUAAGAGGGGGAUAACAUCCGGAAACGGGUGCUAAUACCGCAUAGUUUUCUUGAUCGCAUGAUUGAGAAAGGAAAGACGGCCUUUGUGCUGUCGCUUAUGGAUGGACCCGCGGCGUAUUAGUUAGUUGGUGAGGUAAUGGCUCACCAAGACGAUGAUACGUAGCCGACCUGAGAGGGUGAUCGGCCACAUUGGGACUGAGACACGGCCCAAACUCCUACGGGAGGCAGCAGUAGGGAAUCUUCCGCAAUGGACGAAAGUCUGACGGAGCAACGCCGCGUGAGUGAAGAAGGUUUUCGGGAAUCGUAAAACUCUGUUGUCAGAGAAGAACAAGUUGGAGAGUAACUGCUCCAGCCUUGACGGUAUCUGACCAGAAAGCCACGGCUAACUACGUGCCAGCAGCUGC